Molecule: ribosomal RNA, 1464 nt
Filed under: Nostoc sp. ANT.L61.1
Lineage: Bacteria; Bacillati; Cyanobacteriota; Cyanophyceae; Nostocales; Nostocaceae
Description: bacterial SSU rRNA
Rfam family: Bacterial small subunit ribosomal RNA
Source: RNAcentral
GAUGAACGCUGGCGGUAUGCUUAACACAUGCAAGUCGAACGGUAUCUUCGGNCACAGUGGCGGACGGGUGAGUAACGCGUGAGAAUCUGGCUMUAGGUCUGGGACAACCACUGGAAACGGUGGCUAAUACCGGAUGUGCCCUUCGGGGUGAAAGAUUAAUUGCCUGGAGAUGAGCUCGCGUCUGAUUAGCUAGUAGGUGUGGUAAAGGCGCACCUAGGCGACGAUCAGUAGCUGGUCUGAGAGGACGAUCAGCCACACUGGGACUGAGACACGGCCCAGACUCCUACGGGAGGCAGCAGUGGGGAAUUUUCCGCAAUGGGCGAAAGCCUGACGGAGCAAUACCGCGUGAGGGAGGAAGGCUCUUGGGUCGUAAACCUCUUUUCUCAGGGAAGAACACAAUGACGGUACCUGAGGAAUAAGCAUCGGCUAACUCCGUGCCAGCAGCCGCGGUAAUACGGAGGAUGCAAGCGUUAUCCGGAAUGAUUGGGCGUAAAGCGUCCGCAGGUGGCAAUGUAAGUCUGCUGUUAAAGAGUGAGGCUCAACCUCAUAAGAGCAGUGGAAACUACAUAGCUAGAGUACGUUCGGGGCAGAGGGAAUUCCUGGUGUAGCGGUGAAAUGCGUAGAGAUCAGGAAGAACACCGGUGGCGAAGGCGCUCUGCUAGGCCGUAACUGACACUGAGGGACGAAAGCUAGGGGAGCGAAUGGGAUUAGAUACCCCAGUAGUCCUAGCCGUAAACGAUGGAUACUAGGCGUGGCUUGUAUCGACCCGAGCCGUGCCGUAGCUAACGCGUUAAGUAUCCCGCCUGGGGAGUACGCCGGCAACGGUGAAACUCAAAGGAAUUGACGGGGGCCCGCACAAGCGGUGGAGUAUGUGGUUUAAUUCGAUGCAACGCGAAGAACCUUACCAAGGCUUGACAUGUCGCGAAUCUUCUUGAAAGGGAAGAGUGCCUUCGGGAGCGCGAACACAGGUGGUGCAUGGCUCUCGUCAGCUCGUGUCGUGAGAUGUUGGGUUAAGUCCCGCAACGAGCGCAACCCUCGUUUUUAGUUGCCAGCAUUAAGUUGGGCACUCUAGAGAGACUGCCGGUGACAAACCGGAGGAAGGUGGGGAUGACGUCAAGUCAGCAUGCCCCUUACGCCUUGGGCUACACACGUACUACAAUGCUCCGGACAGAGGGCAGCAAGCAUGCGAAUGCAAGCAAAUCCCGUAAACCGGAGCUCAGUUCAGAUCGCAGGCUGCAACUCGCCUGCGUGAAGGAGGAAUCGCUAGUAAUUGCAGGUCAGCAUACUGCAGUGAAUUCGUUCCCGGGCCUUGUACACACCGCCCGUCACACCAUGGAAGCUGGUAGUGCCCGAAGUCAUUACUCCAACCUUUCGGGGGGGAGGAUGCCUAAGGCAGGACUGGUGACUGGGGUGAAGUCGUAACAAGGUAGCCGUACCGGAAGGUGUGGCUGGAUCACCUCCUUU